GGCUGGUUAGCUCAGUUAGUUGAGCGUAGCGCUAACAACGCUAACAACGCUAAGGUCGCGGGUUCUAUUCCCGUUUAGUCC
RNAcentral lists this transfer RNA (81 nucleotides) under Apaloderma vittatum (bar-tailed trogon). It matches the Rfam family "tRNA". From Rfam's summary of the family: Transfer RNA (tRNA) molecules are approximately 80 nucleotides in length. The record is from Rfam by way of RNAcentral. Lineage: Eukaryota; Metazoa; Chordata; Aves; Trogoniformes; Trogonidae.